RNAcentral lists this ribosomal RNA (481 nucleotides) under uncultured bacterium. RNAcentral's name for it is "partial 16S ribosomal RNA". It matches the Rfam family "Bacterial small subunit ribosomal RNA", at positions 28 to 507 of the family's 1533-position model. The record is from RNAcentral.
GAUGAACGCUGGCGGCGUGCUUAACACAUGCAAGUCGAACGAAACACCUUAUUUGAUUUUCUUCGGAACUGAAGAUUUGGUGAUUGAGUGGCGGACGGGUGAGUAACGCGUGGGUAACCUGCCCUGUACAGGGGGAUAACAGUCAGAAAUGACUGCUAAUACCGCAUAAGACCACAGCACCGCAUGGUGCAGGGGUAAAAACUCCGGUGGUACAGGAUGGACCCGCGUCUGAUUAGCUGGUUGGUGAGGUAACGGCUCACCAAGGCGACGAUCAGUAGCCGGCUUGAGAGAGUGAACGGCCACAUUGGGACUGCGACACGGCCCAAACUACUACGGGAGGCAGCAGUGGGGAAUAUUGCACAAUGGGGGAAACCCUGAUGCAGCGACGCCGCGUGAGUGAAGAAGUAUUUCGGUAUGUAAAGCUCUAUCAGCAGGGAAGAAAAUGACGGUACCUGACGAAGAAGCCCCGGCUAACUACGUG